GACAGAGGUGCCGAGCGUUAGGCGGAAUCACUGGGCUUAAAGCGUGUGUAGGCGGACUUCUAAGUACCUUGUGAAAUCCCACGGCUUAACCGUGGAACUUCUUGGUAUACUGGUUGUCUUGGGCCAUCUAGGGGCUACCGGAACAAACGGUGGAGCGGCGAAAUGCGUAGAUAUCGUUUGGAACGCCAAUGGUGAAAACAGGUAGCUGGGGAUGUGCCGACGCUGAGACACGAAAGCCAGGGGAGCGAACGGG
This 253-nucleotide ribosomal RNA is filed under the name uncultured bacterium. RNAcentral's name for it is "partial 16S ribosomal RNA". It matches the Rfam family "Bacterial small subunit ribosomal RNA", at positions 524 to 776 of the family's 1533-position model. The record is from RNAcentral.